AGUGAACGCUGGCGGUAGGCCUAACACAUGCAAGUCGAACGGCAGCACAGGAGAGCUUGCUCUCUGGGUGGCGAGUGGCGGACGGGUGAGGAAUACAUCGGAAUCUACUCUGUCGUGGGGGAUAACGUAGGGAAACUUACGCUAAUACCGCAUACGACCUACGGGUGAAAGCAGGGGACCUUCGGGCCUUGCGCGAUUGAAUGAGCCGAUGUCGGGUUAGCUAGUUGGCGGGGUAAGGACCCACCAAGGCGACGAUCCGUAGCUGGUCGGAGAGGAGGAUCAGCAACACUGGAACUGAGACACGGUCCAGACUCCUACGGGAGGCAGCAGUGGGGAAUAUUGGCCAAUGGGCGCAAGCCUGAUCCAGCCAUACCGCGUGGGUGAAGAAGGCCUUCGGGUUGUAAAGCCCUUUUGUUGGGAAAGAAAUCCAGCUGGCUAAUACCCGGUUGGGAUGACGGUACCCAAAGAAUAAGCACCGGCUAACUUCGUGCCAGCAGCCGCGGUAA
RNAcentral lists this ribosomal RNA (506 nucleotides) under uncultured bacterium. RNAcentral's name for it is "partial 16S ribosomal RNA". It matches the Rfam family "Bacterial small subunit ribosomal RNA", at positions 29 to 523 of the family's 1533-position model. The record is from RNAcentral.